Long non-coding RNA from Cydia splendana, 1987 nucleotides. RefSeq lists it as uncharacterized. NCBI's taxonomy places the organism in Eukaryota, Metazoa, Arthropoda, Insecta, Lepidoptera, Tortricidae. The transcript is spliced from 4 exons. The record is from RefSeq and is a predicted model, not a curated record.
AAAAAAAAUGAGUUAGCGGUCACACCCUGUAUACAUUUUGAAAUUUAUAAAUUUCACCAAAAACACUAUUUUGAUCGUUUAAACUUAUUUAAAACACAGUAUUAGGUAGUUGUCUGCCUUCCGCAUAAGGGGGGUAAACAUGAAGGUAAAAAAAAGAAUACGGCAGAAAAUUUAGCUGAAAAGAAAAAUGUAUUAAUGUGGCGAAUAGUAUGGACGAUGAUGGUUGACACGUUGGGUGAAUGAUACCUAAAUUUUAUACCGAUUAUUUAUACCACCCGUCAAAUGAGGCAAUUUGAAUUUUGAGGAUUUGUAAUAUGCGGAUAACAGAUAUUCAACAAAUAAUAAAUGGCAAAACAAAAAUAUGGCGCAAAAUACACAACAAAUAAUUAGCUGGUUAUAAAAAUUGGAAUUGGAAGACUAACGUUAAAAUUUUAAAAUACUACGGUCUUGAAUUUCAGUCAGGAAAGGGGAUAAAGGUGGUCUUGACGUUCAGGGGUAAAAGGGUAAAGGGGACAAAUGUGGACGCCCCCCGCACGCAAGGGUGCCGGUAGCUGGAUUCGAAUUUACUUGUUUUGCAUGGAUGGCGCACAAGUUGGUGUCUUCAAACAGGCCGACGAGGUAAGCCUCACUCGCUUCCUGGCGAGCGCGUAUGGCAGCAGACCCGAGGUAAGCCUCACUCGCUUCCUGGCGAGCGCGUAUGGCCGCAGACCCGAGGUAAGCCUCACUCGCUUCCUAGCAAGCGCCUAUAGCAGCAGACCGGGCGGUAACGAUGAGGUUUCUUCACUCCACCAGUGCUUAGCACGGCACGCACGGCGUGGAUUUCCGCUCACUUUUAAAAACCUCGUAUUAAAUAUCUAACUGGAUAUAAAUUGCCAAUCUGGUUAAAAAAAACACCCCCGGAACACGAACGACUCUUCAGCACAAAAUCCACAAACCAUCUCCCUAAAAACAAUUUCAAUCUUUUCUUUCUCGAACAUUCCAUAAAAAAUAUUUUCAAAAUAUGCCUAAAGAUUCACUUUAUUACAUCCAGCCAGCAGUUAUUUGUUUGUAAAACAGGUUGGCAAUCUCGAGUUUUGAAUCUUCGAGUUUUUGAUAUAAGCGUCACCUACGCGUAUUCGCGUGAAUCAACAACAGCGAAACACGGCCUGACAAAAAAAAACUGAAGCCACAGUUCGGUAGUUCCACACAGAUGUAGACAGAUGUAGCGUUUCGCUACAGGUGAUGAUAAAACGGCCGUUAUCGUCGAUUUUAUCAUCCAUACUAUGGUUGCAGACGAUAUAUGGAGUUAUCCACAUUUGACAGCGGUAGAUGAUAGAAGACAAUUUGCGUAACAUGGUCGUUGGAUAACAUGUGGAUAAUUUGACAGAUUGUCCCAUUUUGACAGUUCAACUUAGUUAAAUUUAACUACUUACGUGCUUCUUAGAUGACGAUAAGCCUUGUCGUGAAAGCAAAAGUAGUGAAUAAUCAUAUUUUACGGUAUAAAUUACAGGGAAGUCAUAUUUUAUUAUUCCUACUCGCGGCUGCUGUUGAAGAAAAAUCUCGUAAACAGCUUUAAAAACGCUUGCAGCCCAUUUGAUAUGCCGGACGAAGAGUUUCGGCAUAUUUACAGAGUGCGUAAGGAGUGUGCAGUGCAUUUACUUAUGUGCCGAACUUAACGCCGAGCCUCAAAACGGUGAUGGGUUACCUACCAAAACACCUCAAAGGUUCUAACAGUAUACACCACACCAGCAGCACACCUACACCACCAGCAGCAGCAGCAGCUGCUGGUGUGUAACAGUUACACCUGCUAGCUGAUGGCAACUACCAACGCGGGACUAGUCAAGAUCAUGGCUUGUCCAUUGGAGCACUACUGACUGGAUUGGCCACACUACUAAAACUUCUCGUGGAUCAAGGGAAAAAUUAGAGAAGGCGCUCCUAAAAGACUUCCUAAGCAUGCAAGCAUGCACAAAACCGGCUCUUAAUAAGCUUAAUAGAUACAUAUUUCGCC